RNAcentral lists this ribosomal RNA (620 nucleotides) under Perenniporia nouraguensis. Its description in RNAcentral is "eukaryotic LSU rRNA". The stretch from base 223 to 376 matches the Rfam family "5.8S ribosomal RNA". The record is from RNAcentral. Lineage: Eukaryota; Fungi; Basidiomycota; Agaricomycetes; Polyporales; Polyporaceae.
UCCGUAGGUGAACCUGCGGAAGGAUCAUUAUCGAGUUUUUGAACGGGUUGUAGCUGGCCUUCCGAGGCAUGUGCACGCCCUGCUCAUCCGCUCUCACACCUGUGCACUUACUGUGGGUUUUGGACGGCGCAAAGCGGAUUCGCUGAGCGUUGUCUGUGCCCGCGUCCACUACAAACACUUUAAAGUAUCAGAAUGUGAAAGCGAUGCUAUACAUAAAUAUACAACUUUCAGCAACGGAUCUCUUGGCUCUCGCAUCGAUGAAGAACGCAGCGAAAUGCGAUAAGUAAUGUGAAUUGCAGAAUUCAGUGAAUCAUCGAAUCUUUGAACGCACCUUGCGCUCCUUGGUAUUCCGGGGAGCAUGCCUGUUUGAGUGUCGCAAAAACAUUCAACCUACAAGCUAUUGUGGCUUUGUAGGCUUGGACUUGGAGGCUUGCUGGCCGUAGUGGGCCGGCUCCUCUCAAAUGCAUUAGCUUGGUUCCUUGUGGAUCGGUUUCACGGUGUGAUAAUUGUUUAUGCCGCGACCGUGAAGCGUUUGGCAGGCUUCUAAUGGUCCUCCGCAAGGGGACAACAAAUGACCUUCUGACCUCAAAUCAGGUAGGACUACCCGCUGAACUUAAGCA